UACGUAGGGUGCGAGCGUUGUCCGGAAUUACUGGGCGUAAAGAGCUCGUAGGCGGUGUGUCACGUCGGCCGUGAAAACCUGCAGCUUAACUGUGGGCGUGCGGUCGAUACGGGCAUCACUGGAGUUCGGCAGGGGAGACUGGAAUUCCUGGUGUAGCGGUGAAAUGCGCAGAUAUCAGGAGGAACACCGGUGGCGAAGGCGGGUCUCUGGGCAGUAACUGACGCUGAGGAGCGAAAGCGUGGGGAGCGAACAGG
RNAcentral lists this ribosomal RNA (254 nucleotides) under uncultured bacterium. Its description in RNAcentral is "partial 16S ribosomal RNA". It matches the Rfam family "Bacterial small subunit ribosomal RNA", at positions 524 to 776 of the family's 1533-position model. The record is from RNAcentral.